GACGAACGCUGGCGGCGUGCUUAACACAUGCAAGUCGAACGGAAAGGCCCUGCUUUUGUGGGGUGCUCGAGUGGCGAACGGGUGAGUAACACGUGAGUAACCUGCCCUUGACUUUGGGAUAACUUCAGGAAACUGGGGCUAAUACCGGAUAGGAGCUCCUGCUGCAUGGUGGGGGUUGGAAAGUUUCGGCGGUUGGGGAUGGACUCGCGGCUUAUCAGCUUGUUGGUGGGGUAGUGGCUUACCAAGGCUUUGACGGGUAGCCGGCCUGAGAGGGUGACCGGCCACAUUGGGACUGAGAUACGGCCCAGACUCCUACGGGAGGCAGCAGUGGGGAAUAUUGCACAUGGGCGGAAGCCUGAUGCAGCAACGCCGCGUGCGGGAUGACGGCCUUCGGGUUGUAAACCGCUUUCGCCUGUGACGAAGCGUGAGUGACGGUAAUGGGUAAAGAAGCACCGGCCAACUACGUG
This 467-nucleotide ribosomal RNA is filed under the name uncultured bacterium. RNAcentral describes it as "partial 16S ribosomal RNA". It matches the Rfam family "Bacterial small subunit ribosomal RNA", at positions 28 to 507 of the family's 1533-position model. The record is from RNAcentral.